UUACCCCGGCUGUGAAAAUUAGCAUAUCAAUAAGCGGAGGAAAAGAAACCAACAGGGAUUGCCCUAGUAACGGCGAGUGAAGCGGCAACAGCUCAAAUUUGAAAUCUGGCUCUUUCAGAGUCCGAGUUGUAAUUUGCAGAGGGCGCUUUGGCUUUGGCAGCGGUCCAAGUUCCUUGGAACAGGACGUCACAGAGGGUGAGAAUCCCGUACGUGGUCGCUAGCUAUUGCCGUGUAAAGCCCCUUCGACGAGUCGAGUUGUUUGGGAAUGCAGCUCUAAAUGGGAGGUAAAUUUCUUCUAAAGCUAAAUAUUGGCCAGAGACCGAUAGCGCACAAGUAGAGUGAUCGAAAGAUGAAAAGCACUUUGGAAAGAGAGUCAAACAGCACGUGAAAUUGUUGAAAGGGAAGCGCUUGCAGCCAGACUUGCUUGCAGUUGCUCAUCCGGGCUUUUGCCCGGUGCACUCUUCUGUAGGCAGGCCAGCAUCAGUUUGGGCGGUGGGAUAAAGGUCUCUGACACGUUCCUUCCUUCGGGUUGGCCAUAUAGGGGAGACGACAUACCACCAGCCUGGACUGAGGUCCGCGCAUCUGCUAGGAUGCUGGCGUAAUGGCUGUAAGCGGCCCGUCUUGAAACACGGACCAAGGAGUCUAACAUCUAUGCGAGUGUUUGGGUGUCAAGCCCGAACGCGUAAUGAAAGUGAACGGAGGUGGGAACCCGCAAGGGCGCACCAUCGACCGAUCCUGAAGUUUACGGAAGGAUUUGAGUAAGAGCAUGGCUGUUGGGACCCGAAAGAUGGUGAACUAUGCUUGAAUAGGGUGAAGCCAGAGGAAACUCUGGUGGAGGCUCGCAGCGGUUCUGACGUGCAAAUCGAUCGUCAAAUUUGGGCAUAGGGGCGAAAGACUAAUCGAACCAUCAAUGGGCAA
Molecule: ribosomal RNA, 918 nt
Filed under: Curvularia aeria
Lineage: Eukaryota; Fungi; Ascomycota; Dothideomycetes; Pleosporales; Pleosporaceae
Description: partial large subunit ribosomal RNA
Rfam family: Eukaryotic large subunit ribosomal RNA
Source: RNAcentral